This is a long non-coding RNA of Oryzias melastigma (Indian medaka), 520 nucleotides long. RefSeq lists it as uncharacterized. The record is from RefSeq and is a predicted model, not a curated record. NCBI's taxonomy places the organism in Eukaryota, Metazoa, Chordata, Actinopteri, Beloniformes, Adrianichthyidae. The transcript is spliced from 3 exons.
UGAUAAAUUGCAGUUUGUCAGAAAUCAGCUGUGAAGUUCUGGUCUCAUCUUUGAAGUCCAACCCAUCCAACCUGACAGAACUGGACCUGAGCUGGAACAAGAACUUCCAGGAUUCCGGAUUUCUUCAUCUGUGUAGUUUUCUAGAGCUGCCAGACUGCAGACUGCAGACUCUGAGGUUGAUGAACUGCAGUUUGUCCAAGAACAUCUGGAAACCUCUAAUCUCAGCUCUAAAGUCCAACCCGUCCAAUCUGACAGAACUUGAUCUCAGGUGGAACAGAGACCUGCUGGAUUCAGGAUUUCCUCAUUUGUCUGGCUUUCUGGAGAGUCCAGACUACAGACUUCAGACUCUGAAGUUGAAGGACUGCAGUUUGUCAGAGAUCAGCGGUAAAACUCUGAGUUCAUUUGAGAAUCACAACCUGUCCAGUCUGACAGAACUGGACCUGAGUGAGAACAACAUCCAGGAUUCAGGAUUUCUUCAUCUGUGUGGUUUUCUGGAGAGUCCAGACUGCAGACUGAAGAC